RNAcentral lists this ribosomal RNA (434 nucleotides) under uncultured bacterium. Its description in RNAcentral is "partial 16S ribosomal RNA". It matches the Rfam family "Bacterial small subunit ribosomal RNA", at positions 29 to 507 of the family's 1533-position model. The record is from RNAcentral.
AGCGAACGCUGGCGGCAGGCCUAACACAUGCAAGUCGAACGUACCUUUCGGGGUUAGUGGCGGACGGGUGAGUAACACGUGGGAACGUGCCUUUAGGUUCGGAAUAACUCAGGGAAACUUGUGCUCAUACCGAAUGUGCCCUUCGGGGGAAAGAUUUAUCGCCUUUAGAGCGGCCCGCGUCUGAUUAGCUAGUUGGUUGAGGUAAUGGCUCACCAAGGCGACGAUCAGUAGCUGGUCUGAGAGGAUGAUCAGCCACAUUGGGACUGAGACACGGCCCAAACUCCUACGGGAGGCAGCAGUGGGGAAUCUUGCGCAAUGGGCGAAAGCCUGACGCAGCCAUGCCGCGUGAAUGAUGAAUGUCUUAGGAUUGUAAAAUUCUUUCACCGGGGACGAUAAUGACGGUACCCGGAGAAGAAGCCCCGGCUAACUUCGUG